RNAcentral lists this long non-coding RNA (1443 nucleotides) under Melopsittacus undulatus (budgerigar). Its description in RNAcentral is "lncRNA (ENSMUNG00000022062.1)". Lineage: Eukaryota; Metazoa; Chordata; Aves; Psittaciformes; Psittaculidae. The record is from RNAcentral.
AUGCCCAAGCUUGGGACCAGCAAGCAGGAACCGGAUGAAUUAAUUGUACGUGUUCAGGAAGAGCUGAAGCCCCAUAAGCACUUGAACAACAAAAACAUUCAGGAGGCAUUUCUUCAGUGUGACAAGGAUGGCUCUGGUGUACUGGACAAAGCAAACUUUUUAUCCCUCUGUGAGAGCUUGAGUGUGCCAACCAACACCACUCUUCUUAACGAGCUGAUUGACCAGUGUUCUUGUGGAGAAAACCAGAUAAACUACCGUGACUUCCUUAGAGCCUUCCCUUUGUGAUCUCUGCCCAGAAGCUGAAGAACAAGACCAGCAAUAAAAUUCUUACUGACUUGACUUUAAGACAUUGUACUUCAAAAAAGAUGCUCUAGUCUUCACCUUCACUCACUCUCCUCCUUCCAUCCUCACUAGAUCCAGCUAAUUUUACCCUCACUUUGUUAAUUUUUUUUCCUUCUUAAUCUCUUCCUGCCCUUUUGGUCACUGCCAAACUCAACCUCACAACUACUGGACAUUGAAAUGAAACUCACAAGAGAAAAAAACUUUGAAGAACCAAAGCCAGGCACUCUUGUUGAACUUUGUAAUGCAGUACAGCAAGGCUUGCUAGAGCUCUCUAUAGCCUGCAGUGAUAACCACUCCAGAUUUCUCUUAGAGUCAAAAGGAGCCUUUCACCUUCAAGCAGUGAAGACUUACCAGUUUAAAUAGAUAUUUACAUUGCAAGAAAAUAUAAGAGCCCUACCAUGGCCUGUGAUAAAUUUACCCUUGCUGGUCUGAAUGUGUUAAUGUAUCUGCUUUAAAUAGAAGUACCUCAAUAGCUGGAAUAGCUAAGGAUUAAAAUUUUGAGGGUGUGGUGGAGAAAAAACCCACAAAGUGUGAUUCUGGUUUUAUUUGAAGUGAUGAGUUUAGCUCUCACACAGCUGUGGAGAUAGCAGGGGUCUUUACACAAAUCUGCUGACGGCAGCUUUGCAUUUUUUUAACAAAAGGUUGGGAGAAUGAUUUUAGUAUUGAGAUACUAUCUAAACCUAUUGUAUGCAACCUGUCACCAUACCAGACAGACCCAAUGAAAAGGGAAAACAAGCAGUUGGCAUAGCAAUAGAGGUAUGACACUUGUGCUCCACUUGGAGUUACAUUGCUCAUCUUUCCAUGAAGGUAAAUGUGUCAGGGACCUUCUCACCCCAGAUGACACCUGCCAAGUAUUGCCACUGAGCACAUGUGAAAGGCACCCAUCAUGCACACAGCAGAGAACAAAGCUCUGAAACAAAUUGCUUAUUUAAAUCAGCUUUUUUUAGGGUGGAUUCCCACUUCCCCUCAGGCAGCUGAGAGCCUUCACAUGACAGCUCCCUCCUGUCACCCCUUGUUCAGAAAGGUCACCACUCUUCCCUUCUGGGCCUGUUCUGUGCUGCUGCUCAGUCCAGCUGAGAAUCACUACAGCUCUCUCUGGUC